This 274-nucleotide ribosomal RNA is filed under the name uncultured bacterium. Its description in RNAcentral is "partial 16S ribosomal RNA". It matches the Rfam family "Bacterial small subunit ribosomal RNA", at positions 523 to 796 of the family's 1533-position model. The record is from RNAcentral.
AUACGGAGGGGGUUAGCGUUGUUCGGAAUUACUGGGCGUAAAGCGUGCGUAGGCGGACUAUUAAGUCAGAGGUGAAAUCCCGGGGCUCAACCCCGGAACUGCCUUUGAUACUGGUAGUCUUGAGGUCGAGAGAGGUGAGUGGAAUUCCAAGUGUAGAGGUGAAAUUCGUAGAUAUUUGGAGGAACACCAGUGGCGAAGGCGGCUCACUGGCUCGAUUCUGACGCUGAGGUACGAAAGUGUGGGGAGCAAACAGGAUUAGAUACCCUAGUAGUCC